CGUAGGACCCAAGCGUUAUCCGGAUUGACUGGGCGUAAAGAGUUGCGUAGGUGGUAAUUUAAGCGAAUAGUGAAAUCUUGUGGCUCAACCAUGAGGCUAUUAUUUGAACUGGGUUACUCGAGAAUAGGAGAGGCAUCUGGAAUUUUUAGUGUAGGGGUAAAAUCCGUAGAUACUAGAAGGAACACCAAUGGCGUAGGCAGGAUGCUGGCCUAUUUCUGACACUAAGGCACGAAAGCGUGGGGAGCGAACCGGAUUAGAUACCCGGGUAGUCCGCGCCGUAAACAAUGGAUACUAGCUGUAUGCCGUAUCGACCCGGUAUGUAGCGAAGCUAACGCGUUAAGUAUCCCGCCUGGGGAGUACGGUCGCAAGACUA
This 373-nucleotide ribosomal RNA is filed under the name uncultured organism. RNAcentral's name for it is "bacterial SSU rRNA". It matches the Rfam family "Bacterial small subunit ribosomal RNA", at positions 526 to 896 of the family's 1533-position model. The record is from RNAcentral.